AUUGAACGCUGGCGGCAGGCCUAACACAUGCAAGUCGAACGAGUGGCGGACGGGUGAGUAAUGUCUGGGAAACUGCCUGAUGGAGGGGGAUAACUACUGGAAACGGUAGCUAAUACAGCAUACCAUCAGAAGUGCCCAGAUGGGAUUAUCUAGUUGGUGGGGUAACGGCUCACCAAGGCGACGAUCACUCGCUGGUCUGAGAGGGUGACCAUCCACACUGGAACGGAGACACGGGCCUGACUCCUACGGGAGGCAGCAGUGGGGAAGAUUGCACAAUGGGCGCAGGCCUGAUGCAGCCAGGCCGCGUGUAGGAAGAAGGCCUUCGGGUUGUAAAGUACGUUCAGCGGGGAGGCGUUACCCGCAGAAGAAGCACCGGCUAACUCCGUGCCAGCAGCCGCGGUAAUAC
This 406-nucleotide ribosomal RNA is filed under the name uncultured bacterium. RNAcentral's name for it is "partial 16S ribosomal RNA". It matches the Rfam family "Bacterial small subunit ribosomal RNA", at positions 29 to 526 of the family's 1533-position model. The record is from RNAcentral.